RNAcentral lists this small RNA (121 nucleotides) under Microcebus murinus (gray mouse lemur). Its description in RNAcentral is "Y RNA (ENSMICG00000025369.3)". The record is from RNAcentral. Lineage: Eukaryota; Metazoa; Chordata; Mammalia; Primates; Cheirogaleidae.
AGCUACAAAAUGCUGUGGCUGAGCUGGCAUAAAGAUUACCGUCACAUCAGAACUUAUUAUUCACAUUAGUGUCACUAAAGUUGGUAUUCAACCCCCCACUGCUAAAUUUGACUGGCUUUAA